RNAcentral lists this ribosomal RNA (502 nucleotides) under uncultured bacterium. Its description in RNAcentral is "bacterial SSU rRNA". It matches the Rfam family "Bacterial small subunit ribosomal RNA", at positions 36 to 518 of the family's 1533-position model. The record is from RNAcentral.
CUGGCGGCGUGCUUAACACAUGCAAGUCGAACGCGAAAGGGGACUUCGGUCCUGAGUAAAGUGGCGCACGGGUGAGUAACGCGUAGAUAACCUGCUUCAUGUCUGGAAUAAUACGCCGAAAGGGGUACUAAUACCGGAUAUUCUUGCUUUUCAUAAGUUAUGCAAGCAAAGGUGGCCUCUGCAUAUGCUACUGCAUGAAGAGGGGUCUGCGUACCAUUAGCUAGUAGGUGGGGUAAUGGCCUACCUAGGCGACGAUGGUUAGCGGGUCUGAGAGGAUGAUCCGCCACACUGGCACUGGAACACGGGCCAGACUCCUACGGGAGGCAGCAGUGAGGAAUAUUGCGCAAUGGGGGAAACCCUGACGCAGCGACGCCGCGUGAGUGAGGAAGGCCUUCGGGUCGUAAAGCUCUGUCAAGAGGAAAGAAGUGUACAAUGGCUAAUACCUGUUGUAUUUGACGGUACCUCUAAAGGAAGCACCGGCUAACUCCGUGCCAGCAGCUGC